RNAcentral lists this ribosomal RNA (253 nucleotides) under uncultured bacterium. RNAcentral's name for it is "partial 16S ribosomal RNA". It matches the Rfam family "Bacterial small subunit ribosomal RNA", at positions 524 to 776 of the family's 1533-position model. The record is from RNAcentral.
UACGGGGGGGGCAAGCGUUGUUCGGAAUUACUGGGCGUAAAGGGCUCGUAGGCGGCUCGCUAAGUCAGACGUGAAAUCCCUCAGCUUAACUGGGGAACUGCGUCUGAGACUGGCAAGCUCGAGUGCAGGAGAGGAACGCGGAAUUCCAGGUGUAGCGGUGAAAUGCGUAGAUAUCUGGAGGAACACCGGUGGCGAAGGCGGCGUUCUGGACUGCAACUGACACUGAUGAACGAAAGCCAGGGGAGCAAACGGG